RNAcentral lists this long non-coding RNA (203 nucleotides) under Lathyrus oleraceus (garden pea). RNAcentral's name for it is "Pisum sativum (pea) long non-coding RNA (PSAT_LNC013481)". The record is from RNAcentral. Lineage: Eukaryota; Viridiplantae; Streptophyta; Magnoliopsida; Fabales; Fabaceae.
UUCUAUCAAGUUCAAUUGGUCAUAACGGCUUUGAACCCAUUCAGCAUCAGUCAACUCGGCCUCCAUCAGGACUCUCAUUGAUGGGAUCUCCACCUCUACUGGGAGUACAACCUCCAUGCUAUAAACAAGAGAGAAAGGGGUUGCCCCUAUUGAAGUGUGAACAGAUGUACGAUAUCCGUGUAAAGCAAAUGGCAACAUCUCAU